RNAcentral lists this ribosomal RNA (253 nucleotides) under uncultured bacterium. RNAcentral's name for it is "partial 16S ribosomal RNA". It matches the Rfam family "Bacterial small subunit ribosomal RNA", at positions 524 to 776 of the family's 1533-position model. The record is from RNAcentral.
UACGUAGGGUGCAAGCGUUAUUCGGAAUUACUGGGCGUAAAGCGUGCGCAGGCGGCUUUGCAAGUCAGAUGUGAAAUCCCCGGGCUUAACCUGGGAACUGCAUUUGUGACUGCAUGGCUGGAGUGCGGCAGAGGGGGAUGGAAUUCCGCGUGUAGCAGUGAAAUGCGUAGAUAUGCGGAGGAACACCGAUGGCGAAGGCAGUCCCCUGGGCCUGCACUGACGCUCAGGCACGAAAGCGUGGAGAGCAAACAGG